RNAcentral lists this long non-coding RNA (1035 nucleotides) under Sorghum bicolor (sorghum). RNAcentral's name for it is "long non-coding RNA (SBIC_LNC012409)". Lineage: Eukaryota; Viridiplantae; Streptophyta; Magnoliopsida; Poales; Poaceae. The record is from RNAcentral.
UACCACAACCAUAUACACAUGCUUAUUAGACUAUGAACCAUACAUUUACUUUUUACUGCUUAUGAGCAUUGAGUGUGGUCAAGCUGUGUAGACCCUUAGGAGCUUGUCAUGCGGUUAAAAUCAAGAUUCACUUGCACGUUCACUCAUACAUGCUGCUUUCUACUUCGAAAGUACGCAUCCACAUACAUCCACUCCUUUCCAUCUCCAGAUUCACCGAAAACUAUUCUACUCCUAUCAAGGAGAGAAUAGCCAAAAACAUUAUUCUGUCCCUGUUAUUCCCCGUAAAAUAAAUGCUCGAGAUAUUUUGGUUACUAUCGCUUGCUACAUUAUUCCAGGAGGGUGAGUGCUCUGAAAAAAAAGUGAAUACGAGGAAAUAAGAAGGGGCAAGUCCCCAGAACCUCAAAGAAAAGAAAAAGAGAGACGAGAGGUAAAAAUGGACAAGUGUCCGACAGUAGAAUUAGGGGUAAAAGAUACCCACCUGAGAGAAAAGAAAAAAAUAUAGAGCAUCUCAUUCUCCUCAAAAGUUUCAAAGAGCAAGAAAGGUAUGUAUCCCCUCAAAAGAGCAAAAGUAGAAUUAGACUUUCUCCAUUGUUUUCACCAUUAUCACCAUCAUCACCAUACACCAUUCAUUCACCACACAUGCACAUCUUGGUUUGACUUGUUGACUUGUUUCUCUGGAUCCAUGGUUUGACUAUGCAAUAAAAGUCUUGUAAGUAUGUAUUAGCUAUCUCCCACCUAUGAGAUCCAGAUAUCAAACCUUAUUAGAGUAGGGUGAGAGAGAAGGCAAUGUCACUAUGCCUCAUACCACAAAUACCACAUACUUUGAGAGAAGGCAUAUACCAUCACUGCCUUGGUGAGGAUCUAGAAAUACCACAAAAGAGAGAAUUGAGAGAGUCAUACAAGGAAUCUCUGAGUUUUAUUUGAAAAUCUGCAAAAACUCCAGAGCUAUAGUUGAUCAAGAAUAAGAGACAUGGCACUUGACUAGACCGUUCUAUCUUUUAACUGCUCGAGGCACAAGUAACGGUUGCAAGCCCC